UACGAAGGGGGCUAGCGUUGUUCGGAAUUACUGGGCGUAAAGCGCGUGUAGGCGGGUCUUUAAGUCAGGGGUGAAAUGCCAGGGCUCAACCUUGGAACUGCCUUUGAUACUGGAGAUCUUGAGUCCGGGAGAGGUGAGUGGAAUUGCGAGUGUAGAGGUGAAAUUCGUAGAUAUUCGCAAGAACACCAGUGGCGAAGGCGGCUCACUGGCCCGGAACUGACGCUGAGACGCGAAAGCGUGGGGAGCAAACAGG
This 253-nucleotide ribosomal RNA is filed under the name uncultured bacterium. Its description in RNAcentral is "partial 16S ribosomal RNA". It matches the Rfam family "Bacterial small subunit ribosomal RNA", at positions 524 to 776 of the family's 1533-position model. The record is from RNAcentral.